This 840-nucleotide ribosomal RNA is filed under the name uncultured bacterium. Its description in RNAcentral is "bacterial SSU rRNA". It matches the Rfam family "Bacterial small subunit ribosomal RNA", at positions 17 to 853 of the family's 1533-position model. The record is from RNAcentral.
UUAUGGCUCAGGAUAAACGCUGGCGGCGUGCCUAACACAUGCAAGCCGAACGAAGCUUGACGGAUGAUUUCUUCGGAAUGAAACCUGAUAUGACUUAGUGGCGGACGGGUGAGUAACACGUGAGCAACCUGCCUUUCAGAGGGGGAUAACGGCUGGAAACUGUCGCUAAUACCGCAUGAUGUGUUCGGAUGGCAUCAUCUGAACAUCAAAGAUUUAUCGCUGAAAGAUGGGCUCGCGUCUGAUUAGAUAGUUGGUGGGGUAACGGCCUACCAAGUCUACGAUCAGUAGCCGGACUGAGAGGUUGAACGGCCACAUUGGGACUGAGAUACGGCCCAGACUCCUACGGGAGGCAGCAGUGGGGAAUAUUGCACAAUGGGGGAAACCCUGAUGCAGCAACGCCGCGUGAAGGAUGACGGUUUUCGGAUUGUAAACUUCUUUUCUUAGUGACGAAGACAGUGACGGUAGCUAAGGAAUAAGCAUCGGCUAACUACGUGCCAGCAGCCGCGGUAAUACGUAGGAUGCAAGCGUUAUCCGGAUUUACUGGGUGUAAAGGGAGCGCAGGCGGGACUGCAAGUUGGAUGUGAAAUACCGUGGCUUAACCACGGAACUGCAUCCAAAACUGUAGUUCUUGAGUGAAGUAGAGGCAAGCGGAAUUCCGAGUGUAGCGGUGAAAUGCGUAGAUAUUCGGAGGAACACCAGUGGCGAAGGCGGCUUGCUGGGCUUUAACUGACGCUGAGGCUCGAAAGUGUGGGGAGCAAACAGGAUUAGAUACCCUGGUAGUCCACACUGUAAACGAUGAUAGCUAGGUGUGGGGGGUCUGACCCCUUCCGUCCCGGAGUU